CGGAAGCCAAUCACAGCCCCCGGGGGGGCUAUCUCAGCGUGGACGGGAGCGGAGCCAUGCCGUGGUGCGGCCGGCGCCCUGGCAACCUGGAAGGGUGCUUCUCGCCUUAACCGAGUCUGUUGGCUAACCGCAGAUCGCGAGGGUGUUGAAGGGGGGUGGGCAGAGGCUUCUAGCAGGUCCAGGUGAUGCUUAGGAAGGCACAACUGAGGCUCAUAAGACGUCGGGGAGUUACAGAUGGAGAGAGGAGCGCGGGGGAGGACGGGACCGUGGUGGAUGGACUAUGGAGCAAGGAUGAUCCUUGGACCUUGAAUCUGCUGGUCUCUCCGCGGCUGGCCGAGGUGGGCGGCUUCAGGUCCUGGGCUAGCUAGGCCUCACUGGGCUGAACGGUGAUGCCUGAGCAGUCUCCCCCCAACCAUCCUGUAGAGGACUUCCUGCCGCUGUCCAUCGUGUCCCUCUUCUGCUGCUUGCCAUUGGGGAUCAUUGCCCUCAUCUUCACGAUCAGGGUUUCUUCCUGAGGAGGCCUCUUCAGGCUUCCACUCAGCCCUCGUUCAACCAAGGAACCCCUCUUCCCUGACUGGACUCCUCCAUCUAUAACCCUCUCCUGAGGACUCUCCCACCAAUCUGCAUCCCCCCCCAUCCCCAGACCCAGUCUGCCAACAACUAUGGAGACAGAGUCAAGGCAGAGAAGAAUUCCAAGACGGCCUUCACCCUGGGCAUCACGAGUAUCAUCCUGGGACUGAUAGCCAUGUUCUUCACUGCCGCCCUCCGCCUUUUCAUGAUCUCUGAACUAUCCAAGAGGCCCUGAGAAUGGUCUAGUCCCAUCUCCUCUGUCCAUUAUGUCCCUCUUCUGUCCAGAGGUGGAAGGCCAGAGUCGGAGGGCUCUCCUUGCUCCCUGAAGACCCUUGGACUCAGAUAUUCAGAUGUCCAUUCCCCGACUCUGUUCUCUGGACAAAGUCUCCCCUCCUCCCCGACACUUUGGGGGAUAAUAAAUCCUAUGAGGAGAUUUCUGCCUUCUGGGUGAUCCUUCUUUUUCUCUCUUUUUGAGUUCCCUGAGUGCUCAUUAUCCA
Molecule: RNA transcript, 1067 nt
Organism: Talpa occidentalis (Iberian mole)
Lineage: Eukaryota; Metazoa; Chordata; Mammalia; Eulipotyphla; Talpidae
Gene name: transmembrane protein 233-like
Exons: 3
Source: RefSeq, a predicted model, not a curated record